This 446-nucleotide ribosomal RNA is filed under the name uncultured bacterium. RNAcentral describes it as "bacterial SSU rRNA". It matches the Rfam family "Bacterial small subunit ribosomal RNA", at positions 329 to 792 of the family's 1533-position model. The record is from RNAcentral.
GACCAGACUCCUACGGGAGGCAGCAGUGGGGAAUAUUGCACAAUGGGGGAAACCCUGAUGCAGCGACGCCGCGUGAGUGAAGAAGUAUCUCGGUAUGUAAAGCUCUAUCAGCAGGGAAGAAAAUGACGGUACCUGACUAAGAAGCCCCGGCUAACUACGUGCCAGCAGCCGCGGUAAUACGUAGGGGGCAAGCGUUAUCCGGAUUCACUGGGUGUAAAGGGAGCGUAGACGGCGACGCAAGUCUGGAGUGAAAGCCCGGGGCCCAACCCCGGGACUGCUCUGGAAACUGCGUCGCUGGAGUACGGGAGGGGCAGGCGGAAUUCCUGGUGUAGCGGUGAAAUGCGUAGAUAUUAGGAGGAACACCAGUGGCGAAGGCGGUCUGCUGGACAGCAACUGACGCUGAGGCGCGAAAGCGUGGGGAGCAAACAGGAUUAGAUACCCCGGUA